CGUCUUCAGGGCGGGGUGCAAUUCCCCACCGGCGGUAGGGGCGCAAUGCCCGAGCCCGCGAGCGCUUUGAUGCAUCUGUCUGCCAGACCGAUGCAUCACAGGUCAGCAGAUCCGGUCCAAUGCCGGAGCCGACGGUCACAGUCCGGAUGAAAGAAGAUG
RNAcentral lists this non-coding RNA (159 nucleotides) under uncultured Stenotrophomonas sp. RNAcentral's name for it is "FMN riboswitch (RFN element)". It matches the Rfam family "FMN riboswitch aptamer (RFN element)". From Rfam's summary of the family: The RFN element is a highly conserved domain that is found frequently in the 5'-untranslated regions of prokaryotic mRNAs that encode for flavin mononucleotide (FMN) biosynthesis and transport proteins. Lineage: Bacteria; Pseudomonadati; Pseudomonadota; Gammaproteobacteria; Lysobacterales; Lysobacteraceae. The record is from RNAcentral.